RNAcentral lists this ribosomal RNA (492 nucleotides) under uncultured bacterium. RNAcentral describes it as "partial 16S ribosomal RNA". It matches the Rfam family "Bacterial small subunit ribosomal RNA", at positions 29 to 507 of the family's 1533-position model. The record is from RNAcentral.
AGUGAACGCUGGCGGUAGGCCUAACACAUGCAAGUCGAACGGCAGCACAGUAAGAGCUUGCUCUUACGGGUGGCGAGUGGCGGACGGGUGAGGAAUACAUUGGAAUCUACUUUUUCGUGGGGGAUAACGUAGGGAAACUUACGCUAAUACCGCAUACGACCUACGGGUGAAAGCAGGGGAUCUUCGGACCUUGCGCGAUUGAAUGAGCCGAUGUCGGAUUAGCUAGUUGGCGGGGUAAAGGCCCGCCAAGGCGACGAUCCGUAGCUGGUCUGAGAGGAUGAUCAGCCACACUGGAACUGAGACACGGUCCAGACUCCUACGGGAGGCAGCAGUGGGGAAUAUUGGACAAUGGGCGCAAGCCUGAUCCAGCCAUACCGCGUGGGUGAAGAAGGCCUUCGGGUUGUAAAGCCCUUUUGUUGGGAAAGAAAAGCAGCAGGUUAAUACCCCGCUGUUCUGACGGUACCCAAAGAAUAAGCACCGGCUAACUUCGUG